Sus scrofa (pig) is the source of this 1275-nucleotide non-coding RNA. NCBI's taxonomy places the organism in Eukaryota, Metazoa, Chordata, Mammalia, Artiodactyla, Suidae. The record is from RefSeq and is a predicted model, not a curated record.
UUGGUUGCCAAUUAGAAUCAGCUGGGGAGCGUUUGAACCCCCUCCCCCUCACUGCAAAACAAUCAAAUCAGAGUUGUCGCGGUGGGGCUCUGGCAGCAGCAUUUUUAAAAGCAGACCCUUGAUUUCCGUGUACCCUCAAAGCCGAGAACCUGUGCCGUGCGUUUCCUUAGGGAAACUGAGGCCCUUAUCAGGAGGUUUUUCUCUUAGGCUUAGUUCUCCCCAGGAAGAAUCUUCUAGUCUCCUGCCUGCUACGGAAGCGCUGGGAGAAGGGAGUCAAUUUGGAAAGACCACGGUUAACAACUCCCAGCUCGGAGAGAAGGCAGCCAGGUGACCUCACUCCUGGAAGCUGGGACUCCUGAGCCCCUCCCCCAGCACAGACUGACCUCUCUGAAGACUCCUGUUCAGCAAAUCCACACCCCCGGGACAACGUGUUGGAGACCAGGCCCGGCAUCCAGGACUUCUCAGGCCCCAGGCACAGCAUCAGCCCCAGGAGACAGCGCCAGGAGCAGAAAAUCUUUGGGAGCUGGAGCCAGACAGGCUUGGCUUGGAUUCUAGUUUGACCACUUCCCAGGUUCGGGGAGCACAGACGCCCUCGGAGCUCACUUUCUUGCCCGGGCUUUCCGGGCCUCCUCGAGAGGACGCCCUGUGCUUCGUGAGUGGUGCAAGCCCCCAAUCCUGGGCUUUAUCGGUGAUCUGUGUACCCCUCAGACUGCGUGAGGCCUUUCACUCAUUUCCUAGUUGUCCUCCGUUUUUGAUCCCCGGACCAGAGGUCCUGGCCACUCGACGGCUCUGCAGGCACCACGAUCCUCUGACCCCAGCCCAGGCCCUUUUCCCGUGUAGGCUGCUGCGGAGUAUUGACCAGACGUCCCUGUGCCACACAAUUAAGAAGGUGACGUUCAAAGAAUCUGAGUAACCCAGCCCACGGGACACAAUUGGUGUUAGAGCCACUUUUGUGUGAGUCUGAAACCUCAUGCUUCCCAGUGAAGGAACUUUCUGGAAGUUCUGACUGAACUCUGGAGGGAGUACUUUCUUUUUUUUUUUUAAAUUUUAAUUUUUAUUAAAAUUGAGAAAGUUGAAUUAUAGUUGAUUUAAAGUGUGAUCAUUUCUGUUGUACAGCAGCGUGAUUUGGUGAUACAUAGACACACACCCAUUCUUUGUCAGAUCCUUUUCCCGUGUAGGUUAUCACAGAAUAUUACGCAGAGCUCCCUGUGCUCUACAGCAGGCCCCCCUUGACCAUCCACUCCGUACAUGAUAAUGGCGUGCAUUUGCCAGUCC